CUCAAUUCUCAGAAAAAACAACAUUGCAUAUUGUUGUUGCACAGCACUUAUUAUAAUAUCGAUUAUCACGCAGGCACUCAGUGAUUUAAGUGCAGCCAAGCUCUGACUUCUGAUCUUUGUGAAGUUCUUGGAAAAAACGGUGAAUGAAGAAAGUUUGUCCAAAAGAAAUGGCUGAGUGGAAGCAUACUUGCUCUGUUAAUCAGAGUUCAAUCGAUCACAGCCACUCUUUUUUGUUGGUUAUACCUCUUUCCAAUAAAUCAUUAUACCCUCACGGCAGGAACUGGGCCUGUCUUGUUUCCUAUUGAAUCCACAAUGCCUG
RNAcentral lists this long non-coding RNA (319 nucleotides) under Homo sapiens (human). Its description in RNAcentral is "HSALNT0320081". The record is from RNAcentral. Lineage: Eukaryota; Metazoa; Chordata; Mammalia; Primates; Hominidae.